RNAcentral lists this long non-coding RNA (7136 nucleotides) under Phoenix dactylifera (date palm). RNAcentral's name for it is "long non-coding RNA (PDAC_LNC003590)". Lineage: Eukaryota; Viridiplantae; Streptophyta; Magnoliopsida; Arecales; Arecaceae. The record is from RNAcentral.
UACAUACAUACAUACAUACAUACAUAUAUAUAUAUAUAUAUAUAUAUAUAGAGAGAGAGAGAGAGAGAGAGAGAGAGAGAGAGAGAGAGAGAGAGANNNNNNNNNNNNNNNNNNNNAAUGCUGAACAAGGAACAUGAGAAGGCCGAAGACUCAAAGGCCACCUUUGUAUCGAGUGCAGCAGGAUGCUAGAAAUCAUCUCUAUUGGUGCCAUGUUGUGGACACAUAGUAAUGGUCUUUAUAUCUAGCUCAUAGCUUGAUAUUUUGGGUACUGUUGCACAGAGAUGGUGCAACAUUUAGCACGCUUCUUAGUUUCAUUUGUUUUAGCACUAUUAGACAAAAGUUAUUUUUUUUGAUAAUAGACAUCAAGAUUUUCUCUUCUUAACGAUGAUCAUAUUUCUGAGGUUAUGUUUUGAUCCUCUAAAGCUAUCUGUCACAGUGGGUUGUAGAGGCUGUAUGCCUGGUAUCGUAAUACUUGUUGUGUUGUAUUAUGUUAAAGUUCUCUUUGAGAGUACCCAUUGCUUGCCUAAAAUGUCAUUUUGAGAGAGAGAGAGAGCGAGCUAAUUCAAGCCUCUUUUCCCAAUUCCAUCCAAGAAGACUAGGUUUAGUAGGGUCCGGAUAUGAUCGAUUCCUGGAAGAUUUGCAGAAUUUCAGUUAAGUUUAGGCUAAUAUGGGAAAAGAAGAAUUAAUGAUUUCAGCUUCUGAUCUAACAAUUGGUUGUACCAUAAAAAAGGAAAAAUAUGGCAAUUGGUUCCGACGUUUUAGAAACCUUGGGUACAUUUGGCUAUUGAUGCUUUUCGAAGAGUAUAGACUUCACAAGAAUCAACUCUUCAUCAUGGUCAAUCAUUGGACAUUUUGUUGGUAGUCUUUAAUAGUCCUGGAUCCUUAGCCUUCACUGGCUCGGAAUUGACCAAUUCUUGCACUGCACGGGACGAGAGCUUGAUCGUGGGGGUCAUUUGUGUGAAAGGAUGAUGAAAUUUUUCCAGGGAGUUGGUGGAUUUCGCGUAUAAGCUGUUUGUCGUUUUGUGGCUUAAGAUUUUGGAUAUUCUAGCUCCCCUUUGAGGGAGUGUAGCAGUAUACUGUGGGAGGGGAGGAUGGACGGCAGAGACUACCUACCUAUUGAUCAUAGGAUGGGUGAUAUGGAAAGAGAAAAGAAAACACACUUGGAUUUCACUGAGAGGACGUCAUAUACUUUGCCUCUGUUUUGCUUGUUCACAUACUUUCAAUUGAAUAUCAUUCAGUCAGGCAUUUGGAGGGAAGAGGAACGUCUUCCUUAACUAAUGGUUUCAGUAGAAUGCGUUGCUUGUACCAAGAGUCAAGCUGGAAUUUUUUGCAUGCAAGUGAGGGGAAGGCUUUACAUUUCUUUUACCAUAGCAUACAUAGGCAUACACACAUGCAUCACAAUCUUGGCUAUGCAUAUCUUGUGAAAAGCAUUAUUAUUAUUAUUUUUGCUUUUUAUUUGGAAUAUAAUUGUUAGAUCAUGUUAUUACAUUUGACAUUUAACUCAUCAGGUUGGUAAUCAACAAACAUAUUCAACAUUGCAAAUACAAGUCUUUAGGUCAAAAUGAUAAAAACAUUUAAUCUGGUUAAGUGACUGUAAGAUCAUUUAAAGGUGCUUGAAUGACCAUGCAGACUAAACUGCUUCAAGGUAGUACUACAUAAAGAUAUUAACUACAGCAUAGCCAUUUAUGCAUUUAAGCAGCUGCUAGUACAGCAUGAGCUGACCUUCAAUUUCGAUGGAGGGUUUGCAUGCUAUAUGCAUUACUUUCUUGAUGCUCCUCACACUUUACCAUAUUUUCUUAAAUAUUAUCUUGUCUAUAUUUUUCACUUUCUUGUCGAAUCAGAUGUUUUACUGUACCCUUCUUUUCUUCCAAUGUGUAUAUUUAGCUCAAGAAGACUUCUAUUUAAUUGCUAAAUAUCAAAUUUUGUUUUCAAGCAAAUGUUUCUGUUAAAGUUAUUAUAGGAUGGGUAAAAGUUUGAAUUCUUAAUUCUUCACUCUAUUGCGAAUUUGCAUUUAUUAUCAGGAAAUUGGUUUCAUACACACUUAUUAUCAAUCCUUUUUUUUUUAAUUAAAGAAAAGAAAUCAGUGCCUAUCAUGUUAAAGGCCAAAAGCCGAGUAUGUUGCUUAUCCCUCAAUGCUGAUUUUGCAGUGCCUUUUGAAGAAGAUGAGAAAGAUCCAAGCAUCUGGUUUCUUGACCAUAAUUACCAUGAAUCAAUGUUUGCCAUGUUCAAAAGGAUAAAUGGUGUCCCCCAAUAUUCCACAUUCUGUGGUUGAUCCUUAUCAGAUUUCUCUCUUUUACUUUAUGCUCAAGUCUGGACUUAUCUUUCUUUCAGCAAAGGAACACGUUGUUGGUUGGUAUAGCACAGGCCCAAAACUACGGGAAAACGAUUUGGAUGUUCAUGCAUUGUUCAAUGAGUAAGAUUAUAGGACCUUUUUUAUCUUUCAAGUUUUUGGUUUUUUUUUUUUUUAAAUUGCAUAACUUUUUAACCAUAGGACUUUCUAGUUCCUUGUCAGAUAUCCUGAUGGGUUCAUUUUUUGUCCUUCUGCAUGGAAAUGGAAUAAUGUUCCUCUAUUCAUAAUAAAAGACAUAUAGUUACUAAUUUCUGAUCGGAACCAAUAGUUUGUUUGGAGGAUGACAAGAGUCACAAGACCAAGUUUCUAGUUUGUUGGCUGAGCUUAGCCUUCAAAAUAUUAUGUAAAAUCUGAGCAAAUUCAGUUUUCCCCUUUUAGAUUUUAAUGUUGUAAUGUUUGUUUCCUUCCCUGUUAAGAUUGGUACCUUACAAUUGACAUCUGGUUGAUUGUUUUUUCGUACACUGGACUGAAUUAUGGUUUGUUGUAUUUUUAAUAUGAUCAGCGUGUUCAAAAAAUCUUCAUAAAGAUCAAUACCAAAGGAUUGUCUAGCAUCCUAAAGAACCUUCAACAGUUUCAGCUGUGCUUUCUUUGCCUUUCCUCUCCAUUACAUGGCAGAAUGUUUAUUAUGAUACCGAGCUUUGCACAAUAUUCUCUACCUUCUUGGCAUUCUUUUGUUUGAGCCAACCCCAUAUGGAUGGCUUGAAGGUUGUCUUUAGAUCCUUUUGUAUAACCGACCUAUAUGGUUGUGAGUUUCAACUUAUGCUUCUGAUUUUCCAGUUAUGUUCUCAAUCCUGUAUUGGUGAUCAUCGAUGUCCAGCCGAAAGAGCUGGGAAUACCUACCAAAGCAUACUAUGCUGUUGAAGAGGUGAAAGAGGUAAGCAAACUCAGUGUAGUGGAACUUUUCAGGAUGAAGAUUUCACUUUAUGCUGCAUAUCAGUAGUUAGGUGCCUCAGUGCUAAUGUUUGAAAUUAUUUACAGAACGCCACUCAGAAAAGUCAGAAGGUGUUUGUGCAUGUGCCUUCAGAAAUAGCUGCUCAUGAAGUUGAGGAAAUUGGUAUGCCUAUGCUAUGUUGUUGAGCAGGAAACUGUUGCAACCACUUUUCAAUUGUUUUCUCUGUCUAGCUCCAGAAGGAAAUCUGAAUGUCCGCCUUUCUAUUUGUGAAUGACAUCAGAUCUUUUGUGCUAAAUUUUACCUUCUCUGUCUACCCCUGACAUCACCUUGGAUGUUUAUGAUGAUUGACAUGUGCUUUUUGUUUUAUAAUUGAAUGUAUUGUUAUAGGAGUUGAACACUUACUGAGGGAUGUGAAGGAUACAACCAUCAGCACCCUUGCAACAGAAGUAAUUUUCUUUCUAACAAUAUCUUUGUUCUACGAUUUCCAGUUUAAAAUAUUUGAUAUUUAUCUUAUACAGUUAGCUUAACCUUAUAAUGCUGUUAUGUUUGAUACAGGUUACUAGCAAACUUGCAGCCUUGAAGGGGCUGGAUGCAAGACUCCGAGAGAUACAAGGUUAUCUAGAUCUUGUAAUUGAUGGAAGGCUUCCGCUAAAUCAUGAAAUUUUGUACCAUUUGCAGGUAGGGUUUUCCUUGGCUUCUCUCUAUCAUCCUCCUUGUUGGGAUCAUUCAUCACAGCAUAUAGAUUUGUGGAUAAUACUAUAAUUGUUGUCCUCCCCAUAUCAUGGUCCUCUCAGUGAGGUCACAUGCAAAACAAGUUCACUUGUUUGUUCAGUCAAAAUGGCUUAAAUUAUUCCAUUUGAACUCUUACUUGGCUAUUGGUAAAGGUCAUGCUGCACAGUCACGAGGCACUAUAUCUCACUUCAUUUGGAUAUAUUAAACAAUUUUUAGCUAGUGUUUGUGGGUUUUAUUGCAUCAUAAAGAAACAUUUUGGUGGUGAUUGCUGAAACAGAUAUACAUGCAGAGAUCUGAUUGAAUGUAGUAUUUGUGAGAUAACUGGACCAAACAUCUGAGUACAUGCAUCAUAUAGUUCAAUUUGCUUUUAAAUGUAUCCUUGCUCUUGUAUUAGAGGCAUAUUGUAAGAAACAGCAUAUGUUGAAUACAAAGCUUCGUGCCAACUUACGAUUAUUUCUUUUAAUACCAGACAUUGACAUUAUUUUUUGCAUAAUUUUCUCUAGAUUUAGGAAUAUGCUUCAGGGUCCGUUAUGGGUGCAGGGAAAGUUUAUCAGGCCCUUAAAUGUUGAUUUGACAAUUUCAUAAUCAAUCAUGCUCCUGUAUAUGGUGACAAUUCCGGGAGUUGCACCAAUUCCUUAUGCCACAUGGCAAGAGAACUGUUCGUGUGUGCAUUACGGGAGCCUCAUAGUGUUCCUCAUAGAGUUAACACAUGCUCGAGACAUCCUGGUUAAUUAGCUAGCAUUGGCUGCUAAACUUUUGUUUUGGUCAACUUUGGGAGUGCAAUUUCUAUAAGAAUAUGUUUUGAAUCUCAAUUAGGAGUUGAGAAGCGAGGUCUAGAAACCAUUUCGGUUUUGACCAACCUGUGGAGUUUUGGUUUUGGCAAUUCCAAACGUUUUGCUCUAGGUUUUGGAGUUUUGGUCCAAAAGUCAAUAAAAGAAAAUUAAGCCUAGAAGUUAUAACAAGACAUUUUAGAGUUUUUUUAAUGUUUUAUAGGUUCUUUAUUUUGUACAGUUUGACAGUUCUAGGCUGAACUUAACGUUGCAUGUAAGCGAAAAUCAAAUAUAGCAGUACUUAGUAUUGUGAAUGUAUAUAUAGUAACUUAAAUUAUUUGAAAAUUUGUUAUAUUUAGGAAUUGUGAAGCUUUUCAGUGCCUGGUGAAUUCCUUUUCUUCAUUUUAGUAAAGCUGAUAAAUAUUUUAAAUUUGGAUAUUUCUUUCUGACAAUUUGGAGAAAUUCAUUGGGUUAUAUAAUAUUAUAUUGAUUUUAUAUGAAAAAAGAUGUCAUUCCUGUGCAAGGUCUUGCAUUCGGUUGCCCAUAUUGGUCUUUAUGAAAUAUGUAUUAAGGGCCUUUUUGGAGUCAGUUUGUCAAGGGUUAUGUUUAUUAUUCAUGCGCUCUUUUAAAUUAAAAGGGAAAAUUAAUUGAAAAUAUCACUGCAAUCUAUGUUUAUAAAUAAAUAAGUGAUUCGAUAUGGAUACCAAAGUAAAACCUGUAAAGAAUUGUCCAUGUUCCUCAGUUUUAAUUGAAAUCGGAUGAAACCACUGAACCUGAGAAAUUUCAACAAAAACUGAUUGAAGCUGCCGAAACUGACCAAAACUUGAAACUGGUGUGGUCAGUCUUGGUUCAUUCGAUAUGGUUCAGCAUUUCAGAAAUCGCCCAUUAUCCAUUCGAUAUGGUGUUUGAUAUGUUAUAUUUUGUGGGUACCAUCUACAAACUAGGCAACAAUUUUUUGAUAUGGAAUGGAUAAUCUCUUCAAAUGCCUCGUCCAUUAUCCAUAUUUUAGUUAUUGGUGAAGCUCCAGUAUCACCCAAGCAUGUUGCUCAAUCACGUAUCGUUCUACUAGUACCUUGAUAUGUUCAUUAAUAUUUGUAUAGGUCAAUUUUCCAUGAGAAUGUUUACUGUAAAAUUUGCUGAAGAUAUUUAUUGUCAUCUUUUGAUUAUUGUUUAUCAGAAAGUUUACAUUUGAUGUGUAGACCUGGCGUCUUCCAUGGUAUUAUUUACACAGAUAUGACUACACAACCAUAUUAUAACAAAAGACUGCCUGUUUAAACAUCGUGCAUAUUCUUUGUUUCUCCUUUCUAUUUUUCUGUUCAUUACUUUAUGCAGCCAACCUGAGAAUCCACCCUAAGUCUCAUGUGUGCAAAUGGCGAUGCCUCCAAAGCUUAUAAUGCUUGGCCAUAGAUCAAUUUUCUUCUCUCUUUUUCACGAAGAUUUCUUGAAACUGUGUUCAUGUCUUGUUUGCACUUUUUUUUGGUCUUACAGAAAACAUUUCUUCUUGCAGGAUGUAUUCAAUCUGCUUCCCAACCUUAAUGUGAAUGAAUUAAUCAAGGCUUUUGCAGGUAAUAAUAACCUUGUUAGGGACGAAUAAAAUAGUCGACUUUGUCUAGACAGUUAUUACAUCCAUGGUUUGCUAUAACAGACCAUACCACCCAAUACGGGGCCUACCAUACCAUACUGAUAUGGUACCGAGACUCGGUAUAUCCUCCAUACCAAGUUUUGGUACCGAGGUAUGCACCAUACUGACGGUAUAUAUUUGUUGGGUACUGGUAUAAGGUGUAGUACCAGGGCCGGAAACCUUGAUUAUGUCCGUCUCAUGGCAGCUUUUUGAUUGAUUCUGUUUUAUCUUUUUUUGCAGUAAAAACAAAUGAUAUGAUGCUGGUUAUAUACCUUUCUUCCCUCAUUCGGAGCGUCAUUGCACUUCACAACUUGAUAAACAACAAAGUAAUUUGUUCUCCCCCUUUUUUAUUUUAUGAAGCAUGUAAUGCAGUUUUCGGCCUAUAGUGACCNNNNNNNNNNNNNNNNNNNNNNNNNNNNNNNNNNNNNNNNNNNNNNNNNNNNUAUCUCUCUCUCUCUCUCUCUCUCUCUCUCUCUCUCUCUCUCUCCCCACAUAUGCACAUCAUCCUUUUCCUCAAAUAUAAUUUGACAAUUUGAUGUAUAUCAAUGUUAUCCUGGAUGGAGCCCAGCAUUAUUUAGUAACUACUUGUGCAAUAAAUGUCUAAAAAUGGCACUAUCUGUGAUGGCAGAUGCUGAACAAGGAACAUGAGAAGGCCGAAGACUCAAAGGCCACCUUUGUAUCGAGUGCAGCAGGAUGCUAGAAAUCAUCUCUAUUGGUGCCAUGUUGUGGACACAUAGUAAUGGUCUUUAUAUCUAGCUCAUAGCUUGAUAU